RNAcentral lists this ribosomal RNA (1782 nucleotides) under Finegoldia magna. RNAcentral describes it as "bacterial LSU rRNA". It matches the Rfam family "Bacterial large subunit ribosomal RNA", at positions 1204 to 2925 of the family's 2925-position model. Lineage: Bacteria; Bacillati; Bacillota; Tissierellia; Tissierellales; Peptoniphilaceae. The record is from RNAcentral.
GAGAAAGACAUAAAUAAAAUUUGUGAAAACACAAAGCGUAAAACUAUUAAACGAUACAAUUUCUAAAACACUUAACAACAUACAACUGGCAUAAUAGCUUUUCUAUCGGUAGAGGAGCGUUGUAUAUGAGAAGAAGCAAAAAGCGUAAGCAAUUGUGGAUUAUAUACAAGUGAGAAUGCUGGCAUGAGUAGCGAAAAGGGAUGUGAGAAUCAUCCCCGUCGAAAGCCCAAGGAUUCCUGAGCAAGGCUCGUCCUCUCAGGGUAAGUCGGGACCUAAGGCGAGGCCGAAAGGCGUAGUCGAUGGACAACAGGUAGAAAUUCCUGUACUACAAGAUUGUGAUUGAGAGAAGUACUGACGCAGAAGGAAAAGUCGAGCGUGCUGAUGGUUGUGCACGUCCAAAUAACAAGCCAGAAUAUACAGGCAAAUCCGUAUAUUCGUCAACGUAAGUUAUGAUGGGGAGCAGAAAGAUGCGAAGCGACAGAUUCAAACUGCCAAGAAAAGGUGCUAUCGAAUAAUCUUGUACCCGUACCGCAAACCGACACAGGUAGGCAAGAAGAGAAUUCUAAGACGCGCGGAAGAACCUUUGUUAAGGAACUCGGCAAAAUAAUCCCGUAAGUUAGCGAGAAGGGAUGCCUAAGAAAUUAGGUCGCAGAGAAUAGGCCCAAGCGACUGUUUACCAAAAACACAAGUAUCUGCUAAAUCGAAAGAUGAAGUAUAGGUGCUGACACCUGCCCGGUGCUGGAAGGUCAAGGGGACUUGUUAGAGCAAUCGAAGCAAUGAACUUAAGCCCCAGUAAACGGCGGCCGUAACUAUAACGGUCCUAAGGUAGCGAAAUUCCUUGUCGGGUAAGUUCCGACCCGCACGAAAGGUGUAACGAUUUGGGCGCUGUCUCAACAAAGGAUCCGGUGAAAUUGUAGUAGUCGUGAAGAUGCGACUUACCCACGGUAGGACGGAAAGACCCCGUGGAGCUUUACUGCAGGUUGACAUUGAAUUUUGGGAUUAAAUGUACAGGAUAGGUGGGAGACGAAGAAGCAAGCUCGCCAGAGUUUGCAGAGUCACUGUUGGGAUACCACCCUUUUAAUUCUAAAGUUCUAACUAGUUACCAUGAAGCUGGUAAUAGGACACUGUCAGUCGGGCAGUUUGACUGGGGCGGUCGCCUCCAAAAAAGUAACGGAGGCGUUCAAAGGUUCGCUCAGAAUGGUUGGAAAUCAUUCAAAGAGUACAAAGGCAAAAGCGAGCUUAACUGCGAGACAUACAGGUCGAGCAGAGACGAAAGUCGGACUUAGUGAUCCGGUGGUACCGAGUGGAAGGGCCAUCGCUCAACGGAUAAAAGCUACCCCGGGGAUAACAGGCUUAUCUCCCCCAAGAGUCCACAUCGACGGGGAGGUUUGGCACCUCGAUGUCGGCUCGUCUCAUCCUGGAGCUGGAGUAGGUUCCAAGGGUUGGGCUGUUCGCCCAUUAAAGAGGCACGCGAGCUGGGUUCAGAACGUCGUGAGACAGUUCGGUCCCUAUCCACCGUGGGCGUGAGAAAUUUGAGAGGAUCUGUCCUUAGUACGAGAGGACCGGGAUGGACAGACCGCUGGUGUACGAGUUGUACUGCCAAGUGCACAGCUCGGUAGCUACGUCUGGGAAGGAUAAGUGCUGAAGGCAUCUAAGCACGAAACCAACCUCGAGAUAAGAUUUCUAUGAGAUUACUUGAAGAAAACAAGAUAGAUAGGUCAGAGGUGUAAAGAUAGUAAUAUCAAAGCUAACUGAUACUAAUAAAUCGAAAACUUGACUGGA